GACGAACGCUGGCGGCGUGCUUAACACAUGCAAGUCGAACGAUGAACCCGGAGCUUGCUCUGGGGGAUUAGUGGCGAACGGGUGAGUAACACGUGAGUAACCUGCCCUGGACUCUGGGAUAAGCGUUGGAAACGACGUCUAAUACCGGAUAGGACCUUGGAUCGCAUGAUCUGGGGUGGAAAGUUUUUUCGGUCUGGGAUGGACUCGCGGCCUAUCAGCUUGUUGGUGAGGUAAUGGCUCACCAAGGCGUCGACGGGUAGCCGGCCUGAGAGGGUGACCGGCCACACUGGGACUGAGACACGGCCCAGCCUCCUACGGGAGGCAGCAGUGGGGAAUAUUGCACAAUGGGCGAAAGCCUGAUGCAGCAACGCCGCGUGCGGGAUGACGGCCUUCGGGUUGUAAACCGCUUUUAGUAGGGAAGAAGGGCUUCGGCUUGACGGUACCUGCAGAAAAAGGACCGGCUAACUACGUG
Molecule: ribosomal RNA, 472 nt
Filed under: uncultured bacterium
Lineage: Bacteria
Description: partial 16S ribosomal RNA
Rfam family: Bacterial small subunit ribosomal RNA
Source: RNAcentral